RNAcentral lists this ribosomal RNA (256 nucleotides) under uncultured bacterium. Its description in RNAcentral is "partial 16S ribosomal RNA". It matches the Rfam family "Bacterial small subunit ribosomal RNA", at positions 524 to 776 of the family's 1533-position model. The record is from RNAcentral.
UACGGGGGGGGGCAAGCGUUGUUCGGAAUUAUUGGGCGUAAAGGGCGCGUAGGCGGCCUGGCAAGUGACGGGUGAAAGCCCUCGGCUUAACCGAGGAACUGCCUGUCAGACUGUUAGGCUUGAGACCGGGAGAGGUGAGUGGAAUUCCCAGUGUAGCGGUGAAAUGCGUAGAUAUUGGGAGGAACACCAGUGGCGAAGGCGGCUCACUGGACCGGUACUGACGCUGAGGCGCGAAAAGCGUGGGGGAGCAAACAGG